UAUUUUUCAAAGAGGGAAGCAAAAGUCCAAAGUCCACAUCGGUUUGCUACUAUCCAUCUCUUAUCAAUGGGCAACAACCAUCAUUUAUCAUCGCCACUAUUUUGUGAAAUGCAACUAUGGUGGAAUGUGGUUGGUGUUCAGCAUAAUCUUAAAAAGUAAGUUUAUUACAGUAAAAUCUCUUUUUGGUUGUGUUUUAAUUUUUUUUCCAGUUGGAAACAAUAGAGGUUGAACAAAGUACACCAGUGCCAGCGAUAACUCAAGCACACGAUUGUGGGGUUGAGAACCUAUUCACAGUGAACUUAGAUGAUGUAGAUGUUGCAAUCAAGCACUUGAAAUGGAGGAUUAAUGAUUGGAAGGUAUCAUCUUGGGAAAUGAUUUUUUAUAUAGUUAGGUGUAAUGCCCAUAUUCUAAAUUUGAUUAUAAAAGAAGGAUUGAGCGAACAAAAUGAAUCUAUUUCUCGGGUAAAGAUUAUUGUGAAAUUUGUAAGUCUUUUCUUAUAAGAUCCACUUGCUUUAAAUCAUAUGUUGAGAAAGUCAAACUAGACACUCAUGGUCUUUUGAAUUUGGAUGUUGAGACGAGGUGGAACCCAACAUAUUUGAUGUUAGAUGCAACUCUAAAAUUUGAAAAUGUUUUUUCUAGAUGUAUUAUAAUGAACAUCAGUGUUGUCAAAGGCGAAAAGCGCAAAAAAACGACAAGGGCUGUUGGGGCUUAAAGCGCAAAGCGCACUCAAAGUGCGGGCUUUAGUGCAAAAAAACGCAAUAUAACAAAUAGUGUACAAUAUAUUUACAGAUCACGUAAUAAAAACAUAAGUGACAAAUAUAUUCAAAAUUAGAGCAAUGUAGUAUUAUUUUUAUCAAUGUAGUUAAAUUAUGGUGAAAAAUAUGAUAAACUAUCAACUAAACAAAACCAACUAUUCUACUUCUAAAUUCUAAUCACUAGCAUUAUCAUAUGUAUCUAAAAUGUCAUCAUCUUCUUCAAUAGGAUUACUCUCAUUGGUAUCACUAGAAUUAUAGCCUUCAAUAUCUUCUUCCUCUGAUUCCCUAGAAUCAACAUCAUUUAUAUCUAUAUUAAUACGUCGAACUUGAGAGCUUGAAGCACCGGCUGCCAAAGUUUUUGAUGGUCCCCUUUGUCUCAUUGAGUAUGAGUAUGUUUGUGCAUCUUCGCUUCCCGAUGCUCUAGCCAUAUCGCCCCAAGUUAAGUCAUCAUCUCCCUCAAACACCAAUUCAUUUUCCGCUUCAAAAUUUACCCCCAUUUCUCCAACCAACCACUCAUUACUAUGAUCAAUAUGAUCAAAUGAGAUUGGAUCAAUGAUAUUCCGCAAGUCAAAGCGAGUUCUUAGAGCACGAUUAUACUUGACAUACACUAGAUCAUUCAAUCUUUUAUGCUCUAAUCUAUUCCUCUUCUUGCUAUGGAUCUGCACAUGAAUUAUUUUAUCUCAUUGUUAGUAAAAUUGUAAGUUUGUAUUAAUUAACCAAAUAAAUUAAAAUAACGAAUAGUUAUAUGUAACUAAUGUCUAAUAAGAACUCACAUGUUCAAACACACUCCAAUUACGCUCGCAACCAGCUGAACUAGCGGUUAAGCUCAAGAUUCUAAUGGCUAAUUUUUGGAGAUGAGGGGCUGAAUUUCCAUAUAGAUUCCACCAUUCAACUGAAAAAGAUAUGACUUAGUGGUAAGUAAAUAUUGAACGUGAAGCCUUGAAGUGUUAAUUGUAAACAUUGAAUUUUCAUAUACCUGGAGAUCUCGUUGCUCUUGAUCUUUUUGCCAUGGGAAGUCCAAAUUGUCCCUCAGCUCUUGUAUAUAAUGGUAACUCAGAUGCAAUCUUAUCUUGAACUUCAAUACUUGGAACCAAUUUCUGAAUACAAGCAUAUAGUCCAUUCGUUACUUCUCUACAAUUCUUAAUGGCCGGAUCUUGAUAGAAAUACUCGGGAAUCAAAUAAUGUCCAGCAUGCAAUUGGCAUUCCCAUCUUUGAUCAAUGAUC
Nicotiana tabacum (common tobacco) is the source of this 1979-nucleotide non-coding RNA. Lineage: Eukaryota; Viridiplantae; Streptophyta; Magnoliopsida; Solanales; Solanaceae. The record is from RefSeq and is a predicted model, not a curated record.